RNAcentral lists this ribosomal RNA (417 nucleotides) under alpha proteobacterium BAL126. Its description in RNAcentral is "bacterial SSU rRNA". It matches the Rfam family "Bacterial small subunit ribosomal RNA", at positions 34 to 495 of the family's 1533-position model. Lineage: Bacteria; Pseudomonadati; Pseudomonadota; Alphaproteobacteria. The record is from RNAcentral.
CGCUGGCGGCAGGCUUAACACAUGCAAGUCGAGCGGGCGUAGCAAUACGUCAGCGGCAGACGGGUGAGUAACGCGUGGGAACGUACCUUUUGGUUCGGAACAACUGAGGGAAACUUCAGCUAAUACCGGAUAAGCCCUUACGGGGAAAGAUUUAUCGCCGAAAGAUCGGCCCGCGUCUGAUUAGCUAGUUGGUGAGGUAAUGGCUCACCAAGGCGACGAUCAGUAGCUGGUCUGAGAGGAUGAUCAGCCACAUUGGGACUGAGACACGGCCCAAACUCCUACGGGAGGCAGCAGUGGGGAAUAUUGGACAAUGGGCGAAAGCCUGAUCCAGCCAUGCCGCGUGAGUGAUGAAGGCCCUAGGGUUGUAAAGCUCUUUUGUGCGGGAAGAUAAUGACGGUACCGCAAGAAUAAGCCCCG